RNAcentral lists this ribosomal RNA (465 nucleotides) under Vreelandella stevensii. RNAcentral describes it as "partial 16S ribosomal RNA". It matches the Rfam family "Bacterial small subunit ribosomal RNA", at positions 338 to 795 of the family's 1533-position model. Lineage: Bacteria; Pseudomonadati; Pseudomonadota; Gammaproteobacteria; Oceanospirillales; Halomonadaceae. The record is from RNAcentral.
CCUACGGGGGGCAGCAGUGGGGAAUAUUGGACAAUGGGGGGAACCCUGAUCCAGCCAUGCCGCGUGUGUGAAGAAGGCCCUCGGGUUGUAAAGCACUUUCAGUGAUGAAGAACGCCUGGUGGUUAAUACCCAUCAGGAAAGACAUCACUCACAGAAGAAGCCCCGGCUAACUCCGUGCCAGCAGCCGCGGUAAUACGGAGGGUGCGAGCGUUAAUCGGAAUUACUGGGCGUAAAGCGCGCGUAGGUGGCUUGAUAAGCCGGUUGUGAAAGCCCCGGGCUCAACCUGGGAACGGCAUCCGGAACUGUCAAGCUAGAGUGCAGGAGAGGAAGGUAGAAUUCCCGGUGUAGCGGUGAAAUGCGUAGAGAUCGGGAGGAAUACCAGUGGCGAAGGCGGCCUUCUGGACUGACACUGACACUGAGGUGCGAAAGCGUGGGUAGCAAACAGGAUUAGAUACCCGGGUAGUC